RNAcentral lists this ribosomal RNA (429 nucleotides) under Chloroflexota bacterium. RNAcentral describes it as "Chloroflexi bacterium partial 16S ribosomal RNA". It matches the Rfam family "Bacterial small subunit ribosomal RNA", at positions 355 to 776 of the family's 1533-position model. Lineage: Bacteria; Bacillati; Chloroflexota. The record is from RNAcentral.
UGGGGAAUAUUGCACAAUGGGCGCAAGCCUGAUGCAGCCAUGCCGCGUGUGUGAAGAAGGCCUUCGGGUUGUAAAGCACUUUCAGCUGGGAGGAAGGCGAUAAGGUUAAUAACCUUGUCGAUUGACGUUACCCGCAGAAGAAGCACCGGCUAACUCCGUUCCAGCAGCCGCGGUAAUACGGAGUGUGCAAGCGUUAAUCGGAAUUACUGGGCGUAAAGCGCACGCAGGCGGUCUGUCAAGUCGGAUGUGAAAUCCCCGGGCUUAACCCGGGAAUUGCAUCUGAUACUGGUCAGCUAGAGUCUUGUAGAGGGGGGUAGAAUUACAUGUGUAGCGGUGAAAUGCGUAGAGAUGUGGAGGAAUAACGGUGGCGAAGGCGGCCCCCUGGACAAAGACUGACGCUCAGGUGCGAAAGCGUGGGGAGCAAACAGG